RNAcentral lists this transfer RNA (73 nucleotides) under [Clostridium] aminophilum. Its description in RNAcentral is "Clostridium aminophilum tRNA". It matches the Rfam family "tRNA". Rfam says of the family: Transfer RNA (tRNA) molecules are approximately 80 nucleotides in length. Their secondary structure includes four short double-helical elements and three loops (D, anti-codon, and T loops). Further hydrogen bonds mediate the characteristic L-shaped molecular structure. tRNAs have two regions of fundamental functional importance: the anti-codon, which is responsible for specific mRNA codon recognition, and the 3' end, to which the tRNAs corresponding amino acid is attached (by aminoacyl-tRNA synthetases). tRNAs cope with the degeneracy of the genetic code in two manners: having more than one tRNA (with a specific anti-codon) for a particular amino acid; and 'wobble' base-pairing, i.e. permitting non-standard base-pairing at the 3rd anti-codon position. The record is from Rfam by way of RNAcentral. Lineage: Bacteria; Bacillati; Bacillota; Clostridia; Lachnospirales; Lachnospiraceae.
GGUCCCCUAGUCUAAAGGUUAGGACACAGCCCUUUCAAGGCUGGGAUGCUCGGUUCAAGUCCGGCGGGGAUCA